UCUUAGAAUUUAGAACUUCUAUAUCUUCCAAGCAACUAACUCAGCAGCUGCUAGAGGAUAAAAGACCUGAGACUUGAAGAAACACUAUUAUCUUAGUAUUUACAUUGAAACCCAGCAGACUCCUUGAGGAAAUAUGAGUCUACUCAACCUUAUUCAGAGCUACAUCACAGGACUGAAGGAAUAGUCUAAACUGGGAUGUGGAGCUUAAAACUAACAUGGUAAAACUCAUGAGAGAGAAGUGUGAAGCCUUUCAUUUUGGCGGAGGAUCAAUUACACAAGUAAAGGCUGGGGCAACUGCUGCUUGACACAGAUGAUGGAUGUUGGCUGAGCCUGUCAUGGUGGUCAUUUGGAAGCCUAUGUAAAUCGAGCCAUCACACUGUAUACCUUAAACUUGUAUGGAUGAAAGCUAAGGCCAGUAGAUGAAACUACCAGGAAGUUGGACUUCAGCAGAGUGUGAAAUAAGAACUUCUCAAAAAAGUAUGUUAAUCCAACAAUGAACUUCAAUAAAGCACACACUGCUCUCAUCUUGACUCCGUCAUAUAUUGCAUGUUUUUCACAUGCUUAAAAGCAUAGAAAAAUGCCUUAUGAAAACAGAGCAACUUAGCUUAAAAAAAAGGUUAGCCAACAGACUAAAAUUAACUGGCCCUGAUUCCAGAGAAUAGGAAUAACCUAUAAUCACUGGGACUGGCAAAUAGUCACCUACAAUAAAUAUUUGUUGAAUAAAUGUAAGCACUAUCAAGACAAAUACAUGUCCAUCUUCUUCAAACAGGAACAAGAGGGGUAUUGUCUGAAUUUUCAUUCUACCAGAAAAGUCAACAAAUAAAUACAUAAUAUAAAUGUUAAGUGGUCAUAACUUCCAUGAAUAAAUAUACAAAUGCAUGAGGGGACAAAGAAUUAAGUGUGAUUAAUAUUGUUUCACUUGUUUUGCAGCUGAGAGACUACUUUGAGAGGAGACACUUGAGCAGAGGCCUACAUAAAGUGAAGCAGUGUAUUAGAGUUAUCAGUUGCGUGUAACAAAUUACCCCAGAACUAACUGCCUUAAAAUGAAACCUUUGCUAUCUCGAUGUUUCAGAUGCCUGCACCGGUGCAUGGGUUCAGCUGGUUCCAGUGUCCCUGGCUCAGCAUCUCCUGCCAGGCUGCAAACAGGAUGUCCUCUGGGACUGCAGUCAUUGCAAAGCCCAACAGGGAAGGAUCGACUUCCAGUCUCACUCAGAUGGUUGUUGGCAGGAUUCAGUGGCUCCUCGGUUGUUGGAAUGACUGUCUCAGUUCAGACUGGCUGUUGGCCAAGAGUCCACCUUCAGGGAUCCCUGGGUGGCGCAGCGGUUUGGCGCCUGCCUUUGACCCAGGGCGUGAUCCUGGAGACCCGGGAUCGAAUGCCACGUCGGGAUCCCAGUGCAUGGAGCCUGCUUCUCCCUCUGCC
This is a long non-coding RNA of Canis lupus familiaris (dog), 1420 nucleotides long. RefSeq lists it as uncharacterized. NCBI's taxonomy places the organism in Eukaryota, Metazoa, Chordata, Mammalia, Carnivora, Canidae. The transcript is spliced from 4 exons. The record is from RefSeq and is a predicted model, not a curated record.